CCUACGGGUGGCAGCAGUGAGGAAUAUUGGUCAAUGGACGCAAGUCUGAACCAGCCAUGCCGCGUGCAGGAAGACGGCUCUAUGAGUUGUAAACUGCUUUUGUACGAGGGUAAACGCAGAUACGCGUAUCUGUCUGAAAGUAUCGUACGAAUAAGGAUCGGCUAACUCCGUGCCAGCAGCCGCGGUAAUACGGAGGAUUCAAGCGUUAUCCGGAUUUAUUGGGUUUAAAGGGUGCGUAGGCGGUCGGGUAAGUUAGCGGUGAAAUCCCGAGGCUCAACUUCGGGAGUGCCUCUGAUACUGUUCGGCUAGAGAGUAGUUGCGGUAGGCGGAAUGUAUGGUGUAGCGGUGAAAUGCUUAGAGAUCGUACAGAACACCGAUUGCGAAGGCAGCUUACCAAGCUACUUCUGACGUUGAGGCACGAAAGCGUGGGGAGCGAACAGGAUUAGAUACCCGAGUAGUC
This 460-nucleotide ribosomal RNA is filed under the name uncultured bacterium. RNAcentral's name for it is "partial 16S ribosomal RNA". It matches the Rfam family "Bacterial small subunit ribosomal RNA", at positions 338 to 795 of the family's 1533-position model. The record is from RNAcentral.